This 253-nucleotide ribosomal RNA is filed under the name uncultured bacterium. Its description in RNAcentral is "partial 16S ribosomal RNA". It matches the Rfam family "Bacterial small subunit ribosomal RNA", at positions 524 to 776 of the family's 1533-position model. The record is from RNAcentral.
UACGUAGGGUGCAAGCGUUAAUCGGAAUUACUGGGCGUAAAGGGCUCGUAGGCGGCCAACUAAGUCAGACGUGAAAUCCCUCGGCUUAACCGGGGAACUGCGUCUGAUACUGGAUGGCUUGAGUUUGGGAGAGGGAUGCGGAAUUCCAGGUGUAGCGGUGAAAUGCGUAGAUAUCUGGAGGAACACCGGUGGCGAAGGCGGCGUUCUGGACUGCAACUGACACUGAGGAACGAAAGCCAGGGGAGCAAACGGG